This 380-nucleotide ribosomal RNA is filed under the name Ephedrus helleni. Its description in RNAcentral is "partial 16S ribosomal RNA". The record is from RNAcentral. Lineage: Eukaryota; Metazoa; Arthropoda; Insecta; Hymenoptera; Braconidae.
CGCCGUUUUAUCAAAAACAUGUCUUAUAGAAAAUAAUUUUAAGUCAAAUCUGCCCAAUGAAAAUUUAAAUGGCUGCAGUAUCAAUAACUGUACAAAGGUAGCAUAAUAAAUAGUUUUUUAAUUAAAAACUAGAAUGAAUGAUUUAAUGAAAUAUAAACUAUAUAAAAAUAAUUAAAAUUUAAAAUUAGAAUUUAAGUAAAAAUUCUUAAAUUUUAUUAAAAGACGAUAAGACCCUAUAGAAUUUUAUAAUAAAUUAUAAAAUAUUAAAAUUUAUUAUUUAAUUGGGGUAAUUUUAAAAUUAUUUAAACUUUUAAUAUAAAAACAUUAAUUAAUGAUUUAAAAAUCCUAAACUUUAGAUUUUCAAAAUAAAUUACCUUAGG